GUGCACUGUAUGCGUUUGUAUGGUUUUGUAGCUUUAAGUACUUCUGUGGCCGUAUCACGGCGGCGGAGCAAUACUUGAAUGGGUUCCAUACGAAUGACUGAGUGAGUUUAGUUUUACGCCGCUUUUAGCAAUAUUCCAGCAACAUCA
Molecule: long non-coding RNA, 147 nt
Organism: Haliotis rubra (blacklip abalone)
Lineage: Eukaryota; Metazoa; Mollusca; Gastropoda; Lepetellida; Haliotidae
Exons: 3
Source: RefSeq, a predicted model, not a curated record